Molecule: ribosomal RNA, 253 nt
Filed under: uncultured bacterium
Lineage: Bacteria
Description: partial 16S ribosomal RNA
Rfam family: Bacterial small subunit ribosomal RNA
Source: RNAcentral
UACGUAGGGAGCGAGCGUUGUCCGGAAUUACUGGGUGUAAAGGGUGCGUAGGCGGGAUCGUAAGUCAGGCGUGAAAUACCGGAGCUUAACUCCGGGGCUGCGUUUGAAACUACGAUUCUUGAGUGAAGUAGAGGCAGGCGGAAUUCCUAGUGUAGCGGUGAAAUGCGUAGAUAUUAGGAGGAACACCAGUGGCGAAGGCGGCCUGCUGGGCUUUAACUGACGCUGAGGCACGAAAGCAUGGGGAGCAAACAGG